Non-coding RNA from Pelobates cultripes (western spadefoot toad), 220 nucleotides. The record is from the annotation of a GenBank genome assembly. Lineage: Eukaryota; Metazoa; Chordata; Amphibia; Anura; Pelobatidae.
CUCCUGGAACCAUAACUACUGUAACAGGCUGUAGUGUUUAUGGUACUUGGAUCGUUCCUUUCAGGGAAUUUUAUGACAAAGUGAAAGGGUUAUACUAAUGUACGUGCAUUUACUGAAAACAUGUCCUUGAGUUCUGUACUUCUCUUUUAAAUGGGAAAAAAAAUUAGCAAUGAAAUUUAAAUUAACCCAAUGAAUUUAUUGAAUAAAACCUCAUUUAAGG